GCGGCUCUCCAGGACUGGGAUUGAGGACCCCUGGUCUAGAGGGUCAUGUGAAAGUAAAGAAAUAAGGGUGAGGAUUUACUUUCUGGAAAGAAGCCAUGUGCCUUGUCUUCUUAUUGUGUGUUUUAUUGCCACCUGCCUUGCCAUCCUGAAGUGUUUGUCUUUAUAAUUGCAGCACACCACACCACACCAAAGUGCCAGGAGGCAAAGACACUUGAUCGUCCCUGAUAUCUAUUGUUUAGCGCCUCCAACACGCAAACAAGACAGCAGAGGAAGAAACAAAGUGCAUCUGGAGUAGUAAAUGUUAGAAAUGUGGUAGAAAUGUCAAUGGCACCAUUGAAGGAAAGUUCUAAAUGCUGGAAUAAAAGAGCUGAUAAAUAUUCCAGUUUCCUUCCUCAUCUCAAAGACAAGAAGGAUCAGGUUUAUUGGACAAUGACGUUGUUUGUAUGAAUGCGAGUGUACUGGGCAAUGGAUUGAUACCACCUGUGAGGAAUUGGUCAGUACUGCAGACUGCACUACCCCUGGACCCACUAGCAGUGUGGAUGUGAUCGCAAGUAAUGUCGAAUUUGAAGAAUUUGUGUUUUAGGCACAACAUUGGCCCCUGAUCCACCAAGAACACAAGAAGAUAAUAUUUUUCCAGUGGGAUCAGACACACAAGAAGAUAAUAUUUUUCCAGUGGGAUCAGACAUUUGUUAAACUUGAGGGUUUGACAAAAAAAGAGAAUGAAGGGUAAGACAGAUUGCAUCUCCAGAUCCUGCUGUAAUAACACGGCAUGGAGCACAUUCAGACGGAGGAAUGAGUUAUGGCCCAAGGGAGAGACUCCAGCCCCAACCAGCAAUGGUGGAAACACUUUGCAACCUUGCAACAAGUGUUGUCUGCUCAUAGUCUUUUUUGACAUGACAAUGGUACAGUUUGCUUUAAUAUAUUACGUAUGGUAUUAUGACAGAGCAUGUAUUUAGAAAAUACUCCACUUGUCAGACAAAACUCCUGUUCUACUUAGAGGUUUGUGUUCUACUCAGAGAAUACCAGAUCAGAAACAGUAUAAUCUAAGAACUAGGGGCCCCUACAUGCAAGUUAUAAACAUGCAAGGUCAAAAAACAAGCCUGAUUUAGCCCAAGGGCUAGAGUAAAAUGCUGAGUUGGCAGAACAUACGUUUUGAGAACAUAAGUCAGGCUUAAACAGAAUGGGUCAAAGAUAGGCCAGAACACGAAAGGAGAGUCAGCUCCUACAGAGCACAAGUAACAUUGGUUCAAGAGGUGAAUCAAGGCUAAACUCAGGCUAACAGAGCAACUCUAUUAUUCCAUUCAUCCAGAAAACCUGCCAGAUCAGAGACCAAUCAGCUUACUAAGACAAAGAGCCACCUUAUUAUCUGGCCACAAAGAGCUGCUAUCCAUCCAGGUUGUAGUUUGAUGUGAUUUGUCACACUCUUCACUCUGUUUUAGACACAUUAGAAAUUUUAAGUUAAUUAUUAUAUAUGUAUGUGCAGGUCCAUGUAAUAAAGAGUCUGAAAGUGGGAGCAGGGUCACCUUAGGACCUUUCCAUGAUAAAUCAUAGGUGUUUGGGUCUUUUAGUUGUUUUCCCAUUGCAAUGUUCUGGCAGUCUUGGUUAAAAACAAUUGGAGUGGCUUUACAUUCCUUGUACUUCACACUGGUCAGCAUUUAUCAAUGGAAAUGACUUACUGUUGUACUUCUUUGGAUUGAAGACAUGCAGCAACCUGCACUUAUAGUCGCUCUGAAUGCCCAAGUUGGCAGCAGCUUUGAGUAGAAUUGAAAUCAGUAGGUCACGAAGUCAAAGAUUUCAAACCGAUUUUCAAAAACAAAAAAUUAAGGAAACACUGGUUAGAACAUGUUUCUUGAAUUGUAGUCAGGAAACGGUUAAGUAAAGUUUGAUAACCAGAAAUUAAGAGGAACAUGUUCUAAGAGCCACACUGUAAAUUGUAGUCAAAGCACAGGGCAAAAUAAUUUGUUAUCAGGAUUACAAAAAACAACAAAAAAUGAAAGCAAAGGUCUUUUGGAAGAAUCCAGUUUUGGACAACCAGGAAGUCCACGAUGUUGGCCUUUAUACCUUUAACCCGGUGAUAUCAUUCACUGCACACUGGUUCACUUUACCUAGCAACAGCAUAGCAGUACUCUCUCUUCUGUCUCUUUUUCCGGUUUCUUUGUGGUGGCGGCCUGCGCCACCACCACCUACUCAAA
Molecule: long non-coding RNA, 2192 nt
Organism: Polypterus senegalus (gray bichir)
Lineage: Eukaryota; Metazoa; Chordata; Cladistia; Polypteriformes; Polypteridae
Exons: 3
Source: RefSeq, a predicted model, not a curated record